Molecule: unclassified non-coding RNA, 2334 nt
Filed under: Lingula anatina
Lineage: Eukaryota; Metazoa; Brachiopoda; Lingulata; Lingulida; Lingulidae
Description: aDP-ribosylation factor-like protein 2-binding protein, transcript variant X2
Source: RNAcentral
AUCCGUUUCAAUAUGGCGGCUGAUGAUUCGGAUACAGAGCCGAUGGAUUUUCAAGAAGAGGAACUUGCUUCUUCGAGUUCCAGCAUAGCAGACACCAAGUUUGAUAUAACAAUAGGACACAUAGAAGACAUUAUAAUGGAAGAUGAAUUCCAGGAUCUACAACAAAAAUUCCUUGAAAAAUAUUACAAAGAAUUUGAUGAUAGCGAAGAGAAUAAAUUCAUAUACACAGAUAUCCAUCAAGAAUAUAUCAAUCUGGUAGAAAAAUUUAUUGAAGAAGAACUUACUAGGCGAAUGCAAGGUUUUUGCAUGAGUGAAUUCUCUAAGCAAUUAGUUAAAAGGAAAGAAGAAUUAGAAGGUGAAAUAUUUGAGAUGUUACUGACUUUUAGCGAUUUCAUGGCCUUUAAAGAAAUGUUUCUAGACUACAGAGCAAGUCAAGAAGGGACAACAAUAGAUCUCAGCGAAGGUCUGGUUAUAACUCCCCUAGCCAAAACUGUAGGUGGCAGCUCUUGUGAAGACACUCCGCUAGAACCACCUCCAAAGAAAAGAAAUUCACCAAGAAAGGAAAACUCUAAGAAAUGAGCUCAAACAUCAACUGUGACAAAAGAAUGUACUUAACUUACUCAGAGUAAAGAGGACUGAAACAAGGAUAUUAUCUUUAAAUCCUUGAAGUCAGUUUGGAGGAGAUAGUAAAAAAAACAGGUUUUUAAAGUAGGAAGAGAUCAGUCAAUGUUUCUUCCAUAAGUGGGAAUAUAGUUGACAGGGUACAAAGGUCCUAUGCAUGUUAAAAUGUUCCAUCCAGGAUCAAAAGCAGUUAGUGCCAGAUUACCCGUUCAAGUGGAGAGAUGAGUAUGAAACAACAGAACUGUAUGAUUUUCUAUUUUUUAUCCUCUUGUAAGACUAGCUGUAAUCCAAAAGUGCUGCAGCAAGUGGUUUCAUGUGAAUGGAGCCCUGGGGAUUUUUUCAUUAUUUUUAAGCUGCAUCUUAUUUGAUAAAAUGAAAGUGAGUGUUAGGCUCUACAUGUAUUCAUCUUCUAAUGGGUCUAGUUUGUACAAAACUUCCUUGAAAGGAAAAGAAACUUGAACAUAUUUCCGAAGCAAAAAAAUUUGAUUCACAUCAAACAGUGCAAUUUAUGAUCAAGACCUUGUGUGGCAGCGACAUUCUAGAAAGAUCUGUUAUUUCUGAUUAUAAAUUAUUUAUUUAAUGAAUGAACUGCAAAACCACUGCUUCCCAUUUUCCUUUUGCUCACUUUGUGUUGUCUCUGUCGUGUUCAGAAUUGUUAUGUAUGUAGUCAAAUCUGGUUAUUUUCUUAAUAUUAGAAUUUGUUGAAAACUGUCUAAAAGGAAAGAUAUAUAUUUUUUCCAUUCAUAGAUUUAUUAAACACAUUAUUUCAUGUAAUUAACACUUAGAAAUUACAUAUAUAAAAAAUAUUAAUGGAGCUGCACAUUAACUGCAUUUAUUCUUCUGGAAAAAAAGAAGUGAGUUUUUUUUUUGAUUAAUCAGAGGGUAUAUAUGAACACCUUUGCAAAACUCAAUCCCCAAAUUUAUCAAAGAGUAUAACACACUUAAGAUUUUAGAUGAGUAAGAAUACUUGCACCAGCCCAUAUUUGAAACAAUGCUAGACUUUUCUUUUGGUAAGGUCAUGUAGGUUUCUCCAUGAAUAUAUUUGUAUCAAAUUUUAUUUCUGCCGUGGAUGCUUUUUCCAACGUCCAUAUUUGUUUUACUUUUGUUACUAUUACCGUCCUGAUUCUUAAAAUUCUACUUGAGUUUUUCAUCAGUAGGAGUGUUGUGUUUAGAAGCCGUCCUAAUGCCAAUGAACAUUUGUAGCAUCGAUUUUUGAAAAGUUAAAUAGUAAUUCCUUUUUUUGUGUAGUUUUGAUGUACAAUAUUUUUGUUAGAUUGGAUGUGUUUUAUAAGAAGCAUGUGUUUUUUUUUCAUAACAUUUUUGUACUCAUGCAACAACUAGUCACACUUAUUUCUGUUUUCAUUGUGGGUGCCCAAAUGGAUUUGUCGAAAACCAUUCCACUUCCAAAAAGAUGAAAUGAUGUAUUUUCAGGUUGCUUUGUGAUUUUGAAAGUUUUGUGAAAUUAAACCAUUUAAGGGUGUGUAUGUGCAGUUUUCUCUGUUUUUCAUACAACCUGUUGUAAAACCUGAAACAACUGCAACUGCAAUGCAGUAACUUUAAAUUGCAUAUAGGUUUAACUCACUUUUGCAAUAUUGGUAUGAUAUUUUAAAACCUUCUUUUUCUUCUUUAUUCAUGUGGCUGAUAAUUACUGAAUAUGUAUGGGAGUGGAAGAAUUUGGAAGAAUUUGUGUGAAAUAAAAGCAUUCCAAGUUUA